Molecule: unclassified non-coding RNA, 314 nt
Filed under: plant metagenome
Description: partial contains small subunit ribosomal RNA, internal transcribed spacer 1, and 5.8S ribosomal RNA
Rfam family: Eukaryotic small subunit ribosomal RNA (bases 1-54)
Source: RNAcentral
GGAAGUAAAAGUCGUAACAAAGUUUCCGUAGGUGAACCUGCGGAAGGAUCAUUAUUGAAUAAACCUGAUGUGGUUGUAGCUGGCCCUUUCGGGAGCAUGUGCACACCCGUCGUCUUUAUCUUUCCACCUGUGCACCUUUUGUAGACCUGGAUGUAACACUUUCCGAGGCAACUCGGUCGGGAGGAAUGCUGUCAGCUUUCCUUGAAUGUCCAGGCCUAUGUUUUCAUAUACCCCAAAGAAUGUAACAGAAUGUAUUAUUGGGCCUUGUGCCUAUAAACUAUAUACAACUUUCAGCAACGGAUCUCUUGGCUCUC